CUUAGAAAUUACUGUGACUUCUAAGGUUCAUAUGUCUUGAGAAUUUGGCUUAGCAUGAAGAGCUGCUCAACAGCUGUAAACCUUAAUGCAGCCAUAGCAGUUCUCCAUCAGAGUCCGGAGAAGGACUGAAGCACAUUUCAGGAGGAAGCAGAGGGUUUGUCACUCAUGAAAGCCCCACGCAUCACCCAGCACCUGUUCAAGGCCUUUCUGGCCUCAGGAAAGACUAUAUGCUGUCUUUGAUUUUGUUUUAUAAAUGCCACUGGGGUUAGCUGCUGAAUGCCCUUCUAAUCCAUAAGCAAGGUCUCACCUUUGGGGUUCUUAUCAACGCUGACAAGCAGCAAGCAAUUGAAAAGGCAGUCAGAUUUUUUCAUGGCAUCAAACUUUUUGCUCCUCCUUCAUAAUGCUCAGGGAAAAAAACUCCAAGCUGUUAACACGGAUUUUUUGCAGCAUCCCAAGCCUACAGCUUGGAUGGAGCAAUGGUAGGUGCAGAAUUGCCAUCACUUUUCUUAGGCUGGUGCCUCAGGGCUCAGACCACCUACACAGCACCUGCAGACAAAUUGUUGGAGGUCAUUAGCCUGAAGGCCUUCACCUGCUGUCAGCUUCCCCUCCUCAUUUAUAGCAGAUCCUCAGCUCUAACAGAGGGGCACAGAUAGGCAUUUUGCUUGAAUGUCUUGUGUGGGGUUUUUUUUUUUUGUCUGGAGAGGUCUUGGGGGAUUUGCUUCAGCUGUUGCUGUUUGCAAGAUGGGCUGGAGUUCUAGGAAUACCACCAGCAAAUGCUGUAUCUCAGGUUGCUGAGACACCAGGGCAGGGAGGUCCUGAGCAUCAGAGCAGUUUGUGACAGUCAUCAGAAAAUAUGCACUCCCCUACAUGAGUGUCUCACGGUGGAACUCAUCUCUCAAGCUUCUUUGCAUGCUGCCUGCCAUCCUGCUGCUCGGGCAGAUCACCAGGACAGCCGUGCACUCUUCACAGCCCUUUUUGGGAACAACUAUGUGUCAUCGGCCGACUGCUCAGGAAACCACGCAAGCUGGGCAGGAAGCGCCAGGAAGGGCUCAGCCUCCCUGCACACUUGUAGGGCACAAAAUGAAUCAACCUGCCCUGCCUGGAGCCAGUUCUCCAUCUCAUCCCUAUCAGGAGCUUGGGAAUCCACGCUUCUGCAGACACCUCAGCUCCUGCCUGGAACCGAGCUGUGCAAGGAGGUUCGGUGCAGCCAUCACCAGAUGGUGCUGCUGCAUUCAGCCUUGCAGGGUCACUGUGUGCACGAGUGCUGGGAUUCUUGGAAGAAAAUACUGAACUGUGGAUGUUUUCCCGCUGCUUGGAUGUCUGGGGAAUAGGCAGGGCAUGGUCUGCCUUCAUGUCACUAGCCAGUUCUCUUUGAGAACCAGACAUUUGGGCUUUGGCUGGGGAUUCAGAACAGGGGUGGGUUCAGAUGAUGUUUGAGAUGAUCUGUUCCAGCCUGGCUCGAGUGGAUAAACAAAAUUAAUUAGGCCCACAUCAUAGGAUUUCACAGGAUUUAUUUUUCCUCCAAUGGAAAACUGGCUGGCAACGGGUAAUCAGGAAAACAUAUCACUAAACUUCAUCUCUUUUUUUUCCAUAAGUUUUACAGUUUUUACCUUUUUUUUUUUUUUUAAGGCCCAGCUCCAGGAAUCGUGUUAUCACAUGAGAAUCCAACACCCAACGCACAACUGUAGAGAAAAAGUUAUGUCCCCUUUCCUACAUCUGUUAUAUACGAAACUGCAGUGUGCAAAGAACUUCAGCUGAUGUGAUUAAGCAGAGGAAACAGCACUGAACGUUUAUCUCGCAGAUUUUAGUCUGUUCCCUGGUUGUGGCAGUAAACAUGUGAUUAGUUCUAAAAAGUUGCUUGGGAAGGCUUUCAUCUCUGCUUCCUCAGAAAAUGGAGGAAAAGGUCAAGGGAAAGAUUUUGACAGAGCAGUUCACGAUUGUAAUUCACGUUUAUCUAUUCAUUAUAGUCUCCCUCUUCAAGUUUAUUUGCACCGCUGGGGGAGCAUGCAGAGCUCUCAGUUUCUGUAAGGCAAAUAGGUGCAGCACAAGAAACUCAGAAGCUAAGCCAAAAAUUGUUCUUUUUGAGUCAGCAUUCUUCACUGCUAUUGCACUGAGAUCUCUGAAUGCCUCUAGGCAGAGAAAAAUCUACGUUUGAUGAUUUGGAGCUCUGAAAGUAGGUGCUCCAGCCUUCAUAAGGUCUUCAGCCUCAUCCUGUGGUUAUUCAGGCUGUGUGCUUUAAAGUUCUGACUGUCUUUAUAUUCUGUCUGUGGCCAUCACAGUGUCCUGAUGGAGUUCUGUAAGAACUGGGAUUUGAUCGUCCAGGUCAGAACAGGAUCUGUCCAGACUCAUGGAUUCCAAGGGACAGCUCAUGGCUCAGAAAGAUAGGGGCCAUGAAACUGCAGAAUGACAAACAGUGAUGCUCUUGAGAUGGUAAAUGAGGAGCUUUUUUAUUUUAUGGUGUCAUGAAAGAAUACUGGUGAAUACCAAGAAACUGGUAUCAAGUGAUAGCAGAUAACUGCUAAAAAGAAAUGUUCCUUUCUGACCAGCUCACUGCUGUGGAGUAGAGAAAUCCAAGGGGAUUUGAGGAUUAAGAACAGACUGAUAGUUAAUGCUAAAAUGUAUUUCAAAAGGAGUAUCAACCCAAUAAAAAAUGCCUAAAUCUUGAAGUUUUUUGUGGG
Long non-coding RNA from Numida meleagris (helmeted guineafowl), 2678 nucleotides. The record is from Ensembl. Lineage: Eukaryota; Metazoa; Chordata; Aves; Galliformes; Numididae.